RNAcentral lists this ribosomal RNA (137 nucleotides) under uncultured eukaryote. Its description in RNAcentral is "partial 18S ribosomal RNA". It matches the Rfam family "Eukaryotic small subunit ribosomal RNA", at positions 1299 to 1458 of the family's 1831-position model. The record is from RNAcentral.
UGGUGGAGUGAUUUGUCUGGUUAAUUCCGAUAACGAACGAGACCUUAACCUGCUAACUAGUUGCGCGUACGUGAGUAUGCGUAUACUUCUUAGAGGGACUGACUACGUUUAGUAGUCGGAAGUUUGAGGCAAUAACA